CGUAUAAAAAGGGCGCAUUUUUGUUGUGAUACCAUGCAACAUCCACGAGUCGUUGACUCGUGCUCUUUGAUAGUUCUACAGAUUCUGCUCCCUGGAUAAGUGAAGGGCUGCCUGUAAAGUGAUCAUCAUGACGACACGUAGACCCAAUCAGAGCUUGAAGGCAAUGAUAUUUAUAGCGAUCCUGUGCUUCUCUUCUGAACUCGAGCUGUCUUCCAGUCAAUGGGCAAGAAGCUUAGAAGAGCAUAGCAAGAAAUCUACCGAUAAUUUCAGCAUAGCGCCUGGAAGAUCGUCCGGACCACACGAUUGUUUCAUUUUCAAGUUUAAAGGUGAUACCACGAUAUGAAACGAAGUGCACUUCAUGCUCAUCAAAAGCAGCAUGAUCAGUCAUGCUAUCUACGUUCUCAUGGGAAAACAUGGUGUGAAAGUAUUUAUUGAAAGGUUCAGCGAUUUCAUUCGUGUUUGUGAUAGUAGUUUCGUCGAUCACUAUCUCAUUGACUGGCCUUGUACUGUCACUAAAAAAGCCCCAACUUUUCUUUUUCUUUUUUAUGCACUUUUCAUAAAGCUAGGCAAUACCGUUAUGAAGUAGAAAUCGUUCGAGCUUUUAACUGCGGAUGCCAACUUGUUCUGUAUGAUACUUAUUACCUGUGGCUGAGCGCGCUUCUUUUCAUUUCGUUUUAUUUUGCGUUUUAGUUGUAAGAUGUUACGCGUUAUCCACGGUGUUUGUUUGCUCACUUUCUU
Dermacentor silvarum is the source of this 738-nucleotide long non-coding RNA. RefSeq lists it as uncharacterized. Lineage: Eukaryota; Metazoa; Arthropoda; Arachnida; Ixodida; Ixodidae. The record is from RefSeq and is a predicted model, not a curated record. The transcript has 3 exons.